This 811-nucleotide ribosomal RNA is filed under the name uncultured bacterium. RNAcentral's name for it is "bacterial SSU rRNA". It matches the Rfam family "Bacterial small subunit ribosomal RNA", at positions 1 to 812 of the family's 1533-position model. The record is from RNAcentral.
UUAGAGUUUGAUCCUGGCUCAGAUUCUACGCUGGCGGCAGGCCUAACACAUGCAAGUCGAGCGGAUGAGUGGAGCUUGCUCCAUGAUUCAGCGGCGGACGGGUGAGUAAUGCCUAGGAAUCUGCCUGGUAGUGGGGGACAACGUUUCGAAAGGAACGCUAAUACCGCAUACGUCCUACGGGAGAAAGCAGGGGACCUUCGGGCCUUGCGCUAUCAGAUGAGCCUAGGUCGGAUUAGCUAGUAGGUGAGGUAAAGGCUCACCUAGGCGACGAUCCGUAACUGGUCUGAGAGGAUGAUCAGUCACACUGGAACUGAGACACGGUCCAGACUCCUACGGGAGGCAGCAGUGGGGAAUAUUGGACAAUGGGCGAAAGCCUGAUCCAGCCAUGCCGCGUGUGUGAAGAAGGUCUUCGGAUUGUAAAGCACUUUAAGUUGGGAGGAAGGGCAGUAAGUUAAUACCUUGCUGUUUUGACGUUACCAACAGAAUAAGCACCGGCUAACUUCGUGCCAGCAGCCGCGGUAAUACGAAGGGUGCAAGCGUUAAUCGGAAUUACUGGGCGUAAAGCGCGCGUAGGUGGUUCAGCAAGUUGGAGGUGAAAUCCCCGGGCUCAACCUGGGAACUGCCUCCAAAACUACUGAGCUAGAGUACGGUAGAGGGUAGUGGAAUUUCCUGUGUAGCGGUGAAAUGCGUAGAUAUAGGAAGGAACACCAGUGGCGAAGGCGACUACCUGGACUGAUACUGACACUGAGGUGCGAAAGCGUGGGGAGCAAACAGGAUAAGAUCCCCUGGUAGUCCACGCCGUAAACGAUGU